CGCCACCCACACUCCGCUCCGCUGCCCGGCCUCCGGCGAGAUCCGUGCGUCCGUCCGGGAGCCAAGGGCUCCCUGGUUCAAAGGGCCGCAGCCCAGGGGAUGCCCUCCUCGUGUGUCCCGGGGUGCAGAAGCAGACUGCAGGGCGGUGGGACCAGCCUGGGCCACGCUCCAGCCUCCUCUAAUUGACCUGCUUGGCUGAUCAAUGACGGCACUGGAAGCAAACUGAACGGACAUGUUCAACCAUACAUGAGGGAUAACCUAGACAAAGAAGGUAAGAGAUGUCCAUCGUGACGCAAGAAAGAGAGGCAAGAAAGCAUGCACUCUGAUAACAAAUGUCAAGAACUUCAGAAACUUGGAAGAGAAGUUCCUUUUGCCAGGGACAACUGUCUGUAGGAAGAAAGCUACAUGGUAGAGGUGGUUUUGAGUCGAGACUCAGAAGUUGUGAGCGGAAGGGACAGACCAAAGACAAGGAUGCCAGAGAGAGUCCCGCUGCUGGGAGGCACAGAGCAAAGGCAGGAGCCAGCCAUCUUCUGUUUCCUCUGGGGGAUGGUCAAAAUCAUUGUUCCUUAGAUCCCUGGAAUGUGUGUAAAGAAACGACAACUUCCCACCCAGUUCUAAAUCACGGUGUGUCUUCUCUUCUCUCUGUCAUUUACGUGCAGGGGGUGGGGGGGAGAGAAUUAACAUGGUAGCCUAGAAGCUGAAGUUUCUAGUUGAGUCAAAUUUAGGCAGGAUCAGUUCAACUCUUUGUGUCCUGGACGUCGAUAGGCGGGAUUAAGGCAGGGAGAAGAACACACCAAACUAGAUGCAGUUGGAGAAGCAGCUGAGGAGGUUAGCACAGGAGGAGCAGUAUCCAAAAACAACAUUGCCAGAACGUACUGCAAACCGUACAGGUGCCAACUGUGUUGGUACCUUUGGCUUCCUCUUCAGAGCCUGGGCCUCCACCAGAACAGA
Long non-coding RNA from Peromyscus leucopus (white-footed mouse), 951 nucleotides. RefSeq lists it as uncharacterized. The transcript has 3 exons. The record is from RefSeq and is a predicted model, not a curated record. Lineage: Eukaryota; Metazoa; Chordata; Mammalia; Rodentia; Cricetidae.